This 63-nucleotide microRNA precursor is filed under the name Mus caroli (Ryukyu mouse). RNAcentral describes it as "microRNA 7000 (MGP_CAROLIEiJ_G0007732.1)". The record is from RNAcentral. Lineage: Eukaryota; Metazoa; Chordata; Mammalia; Rodentia; Muridae.
AGAGGAGGGGACAGGCAUCUGGACAGAGGUUCUGCCCUCAGCACCCACCUGCCUGUCCUCCAG